This 602-nucleotide ribosomal RNA is filed under the name Colletotrichum gloeosporioides. RNAcentral describes it as "eukaryotic LSU rRNA". The stretch from base 227 to 375 matches the Rfam family "5.8S ribosomal RNA". Lineage: Eukaryota; Fungi; Ascomycota; Sordariomycetes; Glomerellales; Glomerellaceae. The record is from RNAcentral.
GGAAGUAAAAGUCGUAACAAGGUCUCCGUUGGUGAACCAGCGGAGGGAUCAUUACUGAGUUUACGCUCUACAACCCUUUGUGAACAUACCUAUAACUGUUGCUUCGGCGGGUAGGGUCUCCGCGACCCUCCCGGCCUCCCGCCCCCGGGCGGGUCGGCGCCCGCCGGAGGAUAACCAAACUCUGAUGUAACGACGUUUCUUCUGAGUGGUACAAGCAAAUAAUCAAAACUUUUAACAACGGAUCUCUUGGUUCUGGCAUCGAUGAAGAACGCAGCGAAAUGCGAUAAGUAAUGUGAAUUGCAGAAUUCAGUGAAUCAUCGAAUCUUUGAACGCACAUUGCGCCCGCCAGCAUUCUGGCGGGCAUGCCUGUUAUCUUUGAACGCACAUUGCGCCCGCCAGCAUUCUGGCGGGCAUGCCUGUUUACAGCUGAUGUAGGCCCUCAAAGGUAGUGGCGGACCCUCCCGGAGCCUCCUUUGCGUAGUAACUUUACGUCUCGCACUGGGAUCCGGAGGGACUCUUGCCGUAAAACCCCCAAUUUUCCAAAGGUUGACCUCGGAUCACCCGCUGAACUUAAGCAUAUCAAUAAGCGGAGGGUAGGAAUA